This is a long non-coding RNA of Priapulus caudatus, 122 nucleotides long. RefSeq lists it as uncharacterized. The transcript is spliced from 3 exons. Lineage: Eukaryota; Metazoa; Priapulida; Priapulimorpha; Priapulimorphida; Priapulidae. The record is from RefSeq and is a predicted model, not a curated record.
UAUUGGUAAUGUAAGUCUAUAGGCAAAUAGUAGUUAUAAUAAUUUAUAAACUACAGUACUGCGCUAUGAUUCGUGUAUGAUCGAUACAUAAUAUUUCUGAAUUAAGUUUCAUUAUAUACUUA